Bombus terrestris (buff-tailed bumblebee) is the source of this 1811-nucleotide long non-coding RNA. RefSeq lists it as uncharacterized. Lineage: Eukaryota; Metazoa; Arthropoda; Insecta; Hymenoptera; Apidae. The transcript is spliced from 3 exons. The record is from RefSeq and is a predicted model, not a curated record.
UUCGCGCAGAAGAUACAGUCGCGUAACGCGUUUUACUGAAAUAUACCAGCAUAUGAGCAUAUAAAUCGUUUGGUCAGUUUGUGAUGAUAGUGUGUUUGUGAUAAGGAUUUUAUCAAAAUGUGCAAAUUAAUGAUGAAUCGGUAAUUAGAAGAAACGCUUACUAACUUUUUAGUUAUUGAAAAUAUAACAGUAACAUAUUGCACUGCUUACUAUAUACAGAAUAUUCUACGAGAAAACAAUGUUUCUUUUAUAAAUCUAAUUGUAUUGUUAAUCUUACUAGAGUUUAUUAUUAUUUCUGCUUCUUAAUAGAUGUGGUAUAAUAUUCUUUAAUAUUCAUGUGAAUUUAUGCUAUUUUUAAUCUCUAUAGAUUUAUCAUGAUCCGAAUAAAUAAUUCUACGAAAAGAAUUUAUAUUUAUAUUGAAACAAAUGAAAUUAAAUCUUCGUUGCAUUAAUCCCGAGUUAUUAUAAAAGUCAUAAAAGAAUGUAUAAAAAUAUACCAAGUAUGCGAAGACAUCAAUCAUAAGAGUUACUAUUUAUCUUAAUUAUUUAUAGAAGCGUUAAUUGUUCGAGUUCCAUUAUUUUGACGUCUUUAUUUCCUUUAUUAUUGCAUAAGAAUGCAGAAGUAUAAACCACUUUACUUGCUAGAGAGCCGGUCAUGAUAUAAGAGUUACAAAACCUUAAAAAUGACUUUCAUCGCAAUUUUUAAUCAGUAGGAAAAUAUAACCUUAGAGAUGAUGUAAAGCUGCAUCUAACAAUAAAUAAGUUACUGACGUAGUGCAAUUAUCGUAUGCUACGCUAUUUCAACUGAGGCUACAUUUAUUCGACCUUGAAUGCACAGUCGUAGAGAAAAUUACAACAUUCUUCAAUUUUAAUGUAAAAAGUGACGAUGAUUAAUCAAUUAAAGGUAUUAAAAUCUUAUGCAAUUAUACACAUUGACCAACAUGACUGUCCAUUAAACAAAAUACAUUAAAGAAACGUUCAAUAAUGAAUUGGACAACGUCUGCGCAUUUGCAUUUGAACAGAUUAUCACGCGGAAAAUUAAAGUUAACAGGUGGAUGGGAAAUUCACCAUAGUAGAUAUUUAUUCAGGUUCUUGUAACACGCAAUGGAAUAUUUAAAGAUUACGUAAAAUCAAAGUUGUUUUAUUGUAUAGAUUGCAACGAGAUCAAGAAGAAUGGAUCGUGAUUUCCGGUAGUGUCGUUAUCUUCGCUUGAUAAACUUCGCAAUUUGUAUUUUACGUAUUCAGACUUUUAAUUGUGGACUUGAAUUUAUUUUAAUUUGUUCAAACAAACAUACGAUAGUUUCAAAAUUUUAUAUACCAACUAUUUCAUGUAUUUUCAUUCUUUAUAUCGAAAACGAACAAUCAUGUUUAAAGUAUAUGUACAAAUAUAUUCUUAUUCGCUGACUACCGUUCAAUUUAAAUGCUUUAUAUACCUAUUACCAUAUUAAUUUCCUUAGAUAUGCAAUUUACAGUCACACCUAUUAUUCCGAUACACGUUCCCUCGCUCCUCUCAUAUUUCCUGAAAUCGAUGACACAGGCAUAAAUCAUCGAUACUGAUAAUAAUUAAUUGACAAUGCUACUAAAAAACAUUUGAAAACAUUACAAUAGAUUUAUCUAACGAGAUGUAAUUAAUCCUUAUUGAAAUAUGUACGUACUUUAAAAAAUAUCUGUUAAUCUAUUCACUAAACUAGAUGGAUAAGAAUUCCAUAUUCAUUACAAAAAAUAAAAAAUAUAAAAUUAAACCAAAAGAAAACGAAAGAAAAAGAAAAAUUAACAAUUUUGUUAAAGUAUAAUUCUGACAACAUUAAAGU